GACGAACGUUGGCGGCGUGCCUAAUACAUGCAAGUCAACUGAAAUACCGGUAGCAAUACUGGUAUGGAGGUGGCGUCACGGGUGAGUAACACGUAGGUAAUCUGCCUUCAGGUCUGACAUAACCCAUCGAAAGGUGAGCUAAUAUCAGAUGAUGCAGCGGCUUGACAUCAAGACAGUUGUUAAAGCUUCGGCGCCUGAAGAUGAGCCUGCGCCUGAUUAGCUAGUUGGCGGGGUAACGGCCCACCAAGGCUGCGAUCAGUAGCUGGUCUGAGAGGAUGAUCAGUCACACUGGAACUGAGACACGGUCCAGACUCCUACGGGAGCAGCAGUAAGGAAUAUUGCU
RNAcentral lists this ribosomal RNA (343 nucleotides) under uncultured bacterium. RNAcentral's name for it is "bacterial SSU rRNA". It matches the Rfam family "Bacterial small subunit ribosomal RNA", at positions 28 to 368 of the family's 1533-position model. The record is from RNAcentral.